GACGAACGCUGGCGGCGUGCUUAACACAUGCAAGUCGAACGGAAAGGCCCUGCUUUUGUGGGGUGCUCGAGUGGCGAACGGGUGAGUAACACGUGAGUAACCUGCCCUUGACUUUGGGAUAACUUCAGGAAACUGGGGCUAAUACCGGAUAGGAGCUCCUGCUGCAUGGUGGGGGUUGGAAAGUUUCGGCGGUUGGGGAUGGACUCGCGGCUUAUCAGCUUGUUGGUGGGGUAGUGGCUUACCAAGGCUUUGACGGGUAGCCGGCCUGAGAGGGUGACCGGCCACAAUGGGACUGAGAUACGGCCCAGACUCCUACGGGAGGCAGCAGUGGGGAAUAUUGCACAAUGGGAGGAAGCCUGAUGCAGCAACGCCGCGUGCGGGAUGACGGCCUUCGGGUUGUAAACCGCUUUCGCCUGUGACGAAGCGUGAGUGACGGUAAUGGGUAAAGAAGCACCGGCUAACUACGUG
RNAcentral lists this ribosomal RNA (468 nucleotides) under uncultured bacterium. Its description in RNAcentral is "partial 16S ribosomal RNA". It matches the Rfam family "Bacterial small subunit ribosomal RNA", at positions 28 to 507 of the family's 1533-position model. The record is from RNAcentral.